Molecule: non-coding RNA, 73 nt
Organism: Odocoileus virginianus texanus
Lineage: Eukaryota; Metazoa; Chordata; Mammalia; Artiodactyla; Cervidae
Source: the annotation of a RefSeq genome assembly
UCCCUGAUGGUCGAGUGGCUAAGACUCUGAGCUCCCAAUGCAGGGGGCCUGGGUUCGAUCCCCAGUCAAGGAA